This 342-nucleotide ribosomal RNA is filed under the name Triticum aestivum (bread wheat). RNAcentral describes it as "partial small subunit ribosomal RNA". The record is from RNAcentral. Lineage: Eukaryota; Viridiplantae; Streptophyta; Magnoliopsida; Poales; Poaceae.
AUGGCCGGCCAAGGAAAUGAUGAUGUCAAGGUACUGGGCACGGCGGCGAGCAUGUUCGCGAUCCGCGUGCGCAUGGCGCUGCACGUCAAGGGCGUGAGCUACGAGUACCUGGAGCAGGACCUGUUCCACAAGGGCGACCUCCUUCUCACCUCCAACCCGGUGCGCAAGGCCGUCCCCGUGCUCAUCCACGCCGGCAGGCCCGUCUGCGAGUCGCUCGCCAUCGUCGAGUACGUCGACGAGGUCUGGCCGAUGCCUCGCUCCUCCCUGCCGACCCCUACGACCGCGCCGUCGCCCGCUUCUGGGCCGCAUAUGUCGACGACAAGGCUGUCCCCACGUGGAUAG